This 345-nucleotide unclassified non-coding RNA is filed under the name soil metagenome. RNAcentral describes it as "partial contains 5.8S ribosomal RNA, internal transcribed spacer 2, and large subunit ribosomal RNA". The stretch from base 1 to 120 matches the Rfam family "5.8S ribosomal RNA", at positions 35 to 154 of the family's 154-position model. The record is from RNAcentral.
GAUGAAGAACGCAGCGAAAUGCGAUAAGUAAUGUGAAUUGCAGAAUUCAGUGAAUCAUCGAGUCUUUGAACGCACAUUGCGCCCCCUGGUAUUCCGGGGGGCAUGCCUGUCCGAGCGUCAUUGCUGUCCUCAAGCACGGCUUGUGUGUUGGGCCUCCGUCCUCCUCCCGGGGGACGGGCCCGAAAGGCAGCGGCGGCACCGCGUCCGGUCCUCGAGCGUAUGGGGCUUCGUCACCCGCUCUUGUAGGCCCGGCCGGCGCUUGCCGACACAUCAAUCUUUUUUCCAGGUUGACCUCGGAUCAGGUAGGGAUACCCGCUGAACUUAAGCAUAUCAAUAAGCGGAGGA